CCAAUAGCGUAUAUUAAAGUUGUUGCAGUUAAAAAGCUCGUAGUUGAAUUUCGGAAUUUUUUUAUCGGUUGAAUCAACAGGUUCUUACUGAUUUUAAGAAUUUCUACCUUCUGGAGAACAUUCAUGUCAUUUAUUUGAUGUUUUGGGAAACCAGGACUGUUACCUUGAAAAAAUUAGAGUGUUUAAAGCAGGCUUAUUUCUGCAUAUAUUAGCAUGCAAUAAUAAAAUAGGACGGCAUGCUUCUAUUUUGUUGGUUUCUAGGAUCACCGUAAUGAUUAAUAGGGAUAGUUGGGGGCAUUAGUAUUCAAUUGUCAGAGGUGAAAUUCUUGGAUUUAUUGAAGACUAACUUCUGCGAAAGCAUUUGCCAAGGAUGUUUUCAUUAAUCAAGAACGAAAGUUAGGGGAUCGAAGACGAUCAGAUACCGUCGUAGUCUUAACCAUAAACUAUGCCGACUAGGAAUCAGACGAAGUUAAUUUUUUAAUGACUCGUUCGGCGCCUUACG
RNAcentral lists this ribosomal RNA (502 nucleotides) under uncultured Glomeromycotina. RNAcentral describes it as "partial small subunit ribosomal RNA". It matches the Rfam family "Eukaryotic small subunit ribosomal RNA", at positions 591 to 1092 of the family's 1831-position model. The record is from RNAcentral. Lineage: Eukaryota; Fungi; Glomeromycota.